This 468-nucleotide ribosomal RNA is filed under the name uncultured bacterium. RNAcentral's name for it is "partial 16S ribosomal RNA". It matches the Rfam family "Bacterial small subunit ribosomal RNA", at positions 28 to 507 of the family's 1533-position model. The record is from RNAcentral.
GACGAACGCUGGCGGCGUGCUUUACACAUGCAAGUCGAACGGGAAGGCCCUGCUUUUGUGGGGGGCUCGAGUGGCGAACGGGUGAAUAACACGUGAGUAACCUGCCCUUGACUUUGGGAUAACUUCAGGAAACUGGGGCUAAUACCGGAAAGGGGCGCCUGCGGCAUGGGGGGGGUUGGAAAGUUUCGGCGGUUGGGGAUGGACUCGCGGCUUAUCAGCUUGUUGGUGGGGUAGUGGCUUACCAAGGCUUUGACGGGUAGCCGGCCUGAGAGGGUGACCGGCCACAUUGGGACUGAGAUACGGCCCAGACUCCUACGGGAGGCAGCAGUGGGGAAUAUUGCACAAUGGGCGGAAGCCUGAUGCAGCAACGCCGCGUGCGGGAUGACGGCCUUCGGGUUGUAAACCGCUUUCGCCUGUGACGAAGCGUGAGUGACGGUAAUGGGUAAAGAAGCACCGGCUAACUACGUG